Molecule: non-coding RNA, 322 nt
Organism: Heterocephalus glaber (naked mole-rat)
Lineage: Eukaryota; Metazoa; Chordata; Mammalia; Rodentia; Bathyergidae
Source: Rfam
GUAUGUGAGGGUGCUCUGGCUGCGACACCUGCCACCCCUCCGAUGGCCAGGGUCAAUUCGGCUCAUCUGGCUGGCUCGGCGGGUUUCCCCUUCCUCCCUGUCCACUUCAUGUGUGUCCCUUCCGGUGGCGUUGGCUCCAUUGAAGGGGACGGCCACCCCCGAAAGAGCAGCACCACUUCCUCCAGCAGGGUGUACGAGUAGCUGUGCUCCCCUGGUAGAACCUCCAAACAAGCUCUCAGGGGCCAGGCAGUGGACACACCUGUUCUGCUGCAUGUAAACACCUAUGUAGGCAAAUAUGGGGGGGGUCUGGAAAGAUCUAUAU